Cannabis sativa is the source of this 3214-nucleotide long non-coding RNA. RefSeq lists it as uncharacterized. The record is from RefSeq and is a predicted model, not a curated record. NCBI's taxonomy places the organism in Eukaryota, Viridiplantae, Streptophyta, Magnoliopsida, Rosales, Cannabaceae. The transcript is spliced from 4 exons.
UGUAUUUGUAUUUGUAUUAUCAUAUAGUGAUAAUUUUUUUUUUUAAUUUUACACAUGCACGAAAUACCUUAGACCCGUUUGGAGAGACUGAGUCAGUAAGGACUCUUAAAUACGCUUCUCCAAAUUAUCCAGGACUAUUUGUCCGCAUGGAUAGUUUGGGCUUAUUUUAUACUUAUAGUAUGAUCUAUUGCUUAUUUGAUUAUUUCAUUAGUAAAUAUUUUGGUACAACGUCUUCUUACACAUUCUUGUAAGUCGGCAAACUUAAUUACUACAAGUUUGCUAACUUAUAAGAACUGUGGGGAGGUGUUGCCGAAAGUUUUACAAAAAUGAAAUAAUCUUAAGAGCGUAGAUUGUACUAUAUGUAUAUUUUGUGCAAGUUAGAAACAAUUUUUCUACCGGCUUUCUUUGACAUAAUGGUUCACGUAGUUAUGCAUCGCCCUAAAGAAGCCGUACUAGGUGGACCAGUGCAGUACAGGUGGAUGUAUCCCAAUGAGCGGUCAAUGUCUGUGUACAAGAAAUAUGUCAGGAAUCGUGCCCGUCCGGAAGGCUCUAUUGCUGAAUCUUAUGUGGUUAAUGAGGCAUUAAACUUUUGCUCAAUGUACUUUCGAGAAGUGGAAACUCGAUUCAACCAUCCUGACCGGAACAAUGACAUUGUCCAAAACAUGCCAACUCGACAAUUUUCUGUAUUCAAGCAUGUUGGCCGACCGCUAGGUAUGAGGACAGUCGACACCUUACCCAUGCAAAGCAAGCGUAAGGCGGAGUGGUACAUUUUGAACAAUUGCACAGAGGUUGAGCUGUAUAUCAAGUAAGUAUAAAUCCCAUAAACAGUUACUCACAAUAGUCAACUUCACCUAUAAAAUUCUUAACUUACUAAGUGCAUUAUAUUAUAUAGUGAGCACAAGGAGUUGCUUCAAGCAAGGGGUGUAGGCAAUAUUGAAAAAGUGCAGGAGAGUGAGUUCCCUGAAUGGUUCAAAACUCGAAUAAGCAUUGUUGCCCCUCAAUACUCAUAAUCUUGUUCUCAAUAACUGUUAAACUUUUCUUAAUUUAAUAUUUUUCCUGAAAUGUAGAUUAAUGAACUACGGUUGAGCAACCAGGGUGCAGUGUCAGAUGAGUUGUAUGCUAUUGCUAACCCAACGAAUGCAUCAAUUUAUUUUUAUCCAGGGUGCAUAGUGAACGGUAUUAAAUUUUUGGUCAAGGAAAGGAAUGAUAACCGCAAAACACAAAAUAGCGGUGUUAUGGGGCCCGGUGAAGAUGGACAAAAUUUUUACGGCACACUUGAAAAAAUUAUGGUGUUCACUUAUUUAAAAGACUACAGUGUUCUCUUAUUUUUGUGUAAGUGGUUUGACACUAAUGGGAGUAAAAUGGAUAGUGACGGUGUUAUUACUAGCAUUUGCGUCAACCGAGAGUGGUACCAAAAUGAACCGUUCAUACUUGCAUCUCAAGCAAAAUUGAUCUAUUACAUUCCUGAUUUGAAGAACGGUAAAGACUGGCUGAUUGUAAAUGAGUACAUACCGCGAAAUGUUUGGGACUUCCCGGACACUGAUGGGGAGACACCCUUUGCACAGGAAAACAAUUCAGCUGAAACCGAGUUCGUUGUUCAACUUCCACAGUUGGAUGAUGUUGACUAUGUUCGCCAUGAUGUGGACCCAACUGAAGUUGCAAACAUCUAUCAUGUGAAUUCACAGCCUCAACAAUUAGAUGAUUUCAUUUUCGAUGAUGACAACGAGGGUCUAAAUACCGAAGAAGAUAACUCCUGAGAAUUAGAGAGUGACAGUGAUGAUAAUGUUGUAUAUGUAACUGAUGAUGAGGAUGAUGAAUUGUAAUUGAAAUAGUAUUUUAAAUAAAAUAAAAAUUAAAACCCUUCUUGUUUAAUAUGUUUUGAAUAUGGUUGUUUAUUUUAAAUAAAAAAUGUGUGUUGUAUAUGUAGUAUGUCUACACCAGGUGGCAGCAGUUCGAAAAAGAAAGGGAUCAGAGGUAAAUACAAAGGCAAGAAUGUUGAAGAGGAGCUCUCCAAAACACAAUCUGCCAAGUUACAGAUUGAGUUGCAUGCUGAGACUGGCACCCCCGUCGGCAAAAACGGAAAAAAAUUCAACAACAUGGCUAAAUGGAUGACUCGGAUGUCUAUCCCCAUCAAUAAAUUCAAAUGGGAAGAUGUCAGUAGAGUUGACAUCAAUGCACUGUGGGAUAGACUUGAGACAAAGUUUGUCCUCCCACGAGAUAACCCUACAUUAGUAGACUACGGUGAGUACGAGAUGUCAAAAGGGUUUACGUGACUGGAGGGCAGACUAUAAGAAAAAGUGGAUACAAAGCAUUGAGGAGCUUGAACAAGAGAGGGCCAACAUGUUACCUCCUGACGGAGUAACUCAAGAGGUGUGGAGUGACUGCAUCGCUUAUUGGAGCACAGACAAACAAAAGGCGAGAGCAGCGAAAAAUAAAGAAAGUCGGGGUAAGAUGAAACUUCAAGGAGGUUGGGGCUCGAAGCCUAUUGUUUCACAUGUUGUCAAGGGGGCUAACCCCGACAUAGGAGAACUGCCAACUGCAGUGGAAACUUUUCAAAAGUUUCACCAUAAAGGCAACAGUUGGCGCAACGAGUACGCACAACAAGCUUACGUAAGUUUACAGUUUAAUUCAAUUUUUAUUUAUUUAUUUCAAUUUAUUUUGUAUUAAAAUUAACCAUUUAACUUAUUUAUUUGUUUUAGGAGCAAAUGGUUGAAAUAGCGGCAACUCAACCAGCGCCCACUGAAGAUCAGCCCGAUGAGCCUGCUAUCGAUCCUACACAGUACCCCCAGGACUUACCUGUUAUGACGCAAGUACUCGGGGAACGAUCUCGACAUCUUAGAGGCUUUGGCCAUCUCCCCAGACUGAAGGGAGUUGGGGCCAAAAGAGCACCUGCCACGCAUUCUUCGGCCCCACCGACUGUUACAAUGGAACAGUACGAGGCUUUGCAAAAAAAAGUGGAGGAAGCGGAGCAGACAACUCAAUAUACGAGGCAAAAGUAUGAGACACAACAACUCUAACUCGGACGAUUCCAAGAUCAGUUUGAGUAUCUUUCUCGAGCUGUUCCGCGUUUAACCUUGCGUCCCAUGGAUCUUCCACCAUUGCCCACUCCUUGUGUUGGAUCGUCAUCGGCUGCUCCUGGUGCUGGAUCGUCAUCGCAGCCUCCCGAGACUUAGAGAAACAACGAUGAUGACAUUACCCGCCUAUAGAACUUCAC